UCCAGAUCCUGUGCCCGGAAGUCAGCUUCGAUGCCGUUAACACAACGCUCUGACUGGCAACCCUGCACAAUAAAUUCAUCGUGUCUCCUUACAACAAGUCCAGAGGUAGAAUGGAUUCAAGAACUGAUGACCGUGUCUCGGUGAUUUCGUCAAAGACUAAGGCUUCCUACCUCGUAGCCAGCCCCUCUCCAAGGCAGAGGCCAUGAAGGAAGUUACAGGAGUCACUUCCAGACACACGGAUGUCCAGAGUCAUAAAAUGGUCAAUCACUGCUGGUGUCUCCUCUCAAAAUAAUGGUCAUAAAGGAUGAUAAUUUAAGGAAGAAAGAAGAGUACGUUACUUGGAAAUGUAAGGUAUAUUGUCUCCAUUAAAAACAUAAUUCAUCAUUGUUA
Molecule: long non-coding RNA, 390 nt
Organism: Suricata suricatta (meerkat)
Lineage: Eukaryota; Metazoa; Chordata; Mammalia; Carnivora; Herpestidae
Exons: 2
Source: RefSeq, a predicted model, not a curated record